GAGUUUGAUCCUGGUUCAGGACGAACGCUGGCGGCGUGCCUAACACAUGCAAGUCGAGCGAUGAAACCCCUUCGGGGGUGGAUUAGCGGCGGACGGGUGAGUAACACGUGGGUAACCUGCCUCAAAGUGGGGGAUAGCCUUCCGAAAGGAAGAUUAAUACCGCAUAAAGCCAAGUUUCACAUGGAAUUUGGAUGAAAGGAGUAAUUCGCUUUGAGAUGGACCCGCGGCGCAUUAGUUAGUUGGUGGGGUAAUGGCCUACCAAGACAGCGAUGCGUAGCCGACCUGAGAGGGUGAUCGGCCACAUUGGAACUGAGAUACGGUCCAGACUCCUACGGGAGGCAGCAGUGGGGAAUAUUGCACAAUGGGCGAAAGCCUGAUGCAACAACGCCGCGUGAGUGAUGAAGGUCUUCGGAUUGUAAAGCUCUGUCUUUUGGG
This 435-nucleotide ribosomal RNA is filed under the name uncultured Clostridium sp. RNAcentral describes it as "bacterial SSU rRNA". It matches the Rfam family "Bacterial small subunit ribosomal RNA", at positions 9 to 444 of the family's 1533-position model. The record is from RNAcentral. Lineage: Bacteria; Bacillati; Bacillota; Clostridia; Eubacteriales; Clostridiaceae.